GUUUCAGUUUUCUGAACCGAACACGGCCCCUGGCCUACAAGAACGGGGCCGGCCUUAUGCCUCGUACACCUUGCACUCGUCGGUCUCGGGGUUGUCCUUGCAGAAGUCCUCCAGAGGGUCGCCGCUGCCGCCCGCCGCCGCCGCGCCCGGCCACUUGGCCGCCACCAGGUGCGCCAAAUCAACCACGCGUUGGCUGCACGCACGCAACCCCAGCGAGCGUUAGCAAAUAUACUGUCAGUGUGCGCAACGCGCAGUUUCAGUUGCAGAUGCAGAUAAGCACGUACCUGUAGCCCCACUCGUUGUCGUACCAGGCGACGACCUUGACCAUGUCGUCGCCCAUGACCAUGGUGAGCGAGGAGUCGAUGGAGGAGGACACGUCGGAGCACCUGAAGUCGACGGACACGAGCGGCUCGUCGCAGACCUGCAGCACGCCCUUGAGCGGGCCGGCGGCGGCCUUGCGGAACGCCGCGUUAACGUCGUCGGCCGUCAUGCCCUUCUUCUCCGUGUUGAUCACCAGGUCCACCACGGACACGUUCGGGGUCGGCACGCGGAGCGCGAUGCCGUUCAGCUUGCCCUUCAGCUGGGGAAGCACCAGGGCAACGGCCUUGGCAGCGCCGGUGCUCGUCGGCACGAUGUUCAGGGCCGCCGCACGGGCCCUCCUCAGGUCGCGGUGGGACGCGUCCAGCAGCCGCUGGUCGCCGGUGUAUGAGUGUGUCGUCGUCAUGGUUCCCUUCACAAUCCCUGCACAUCAUCGCGAAAACAUUCGUCAGAUGAGUGUGUCCAGUGUCUGACUCGUGGGGCGCACUUAUCAGACUGUGUGGUCAGGAACAGGAAAUAAGCAAAAAAGUUCUCACCGAACUCUUCGUCCAAGACCUUGACGAAUGGGGCGAGGCAGUUGGUCGUGCAGGAAGCAUUGCUGCAAGCAACAGAGUUGUGAUGCAGAUGAAUGUUAGGAUGAUACAGGGUCCCCUGAAUGACAUAGCGUAUAUGCCGGCACCGGCAGGAAUCAGGAUGCAGAGCAGUGCUGAAGCGCACACUGAAGCUUGAUUACCUGAUAAUGUCGGCCACGCCGUGGUCGUAGUCGCCCUCGUUGACACCGACGACAUAGGUCGGGAUGUCGGCGCCCUUCGCCGGAGCAGUGAUGAUGACCUUCUUCGCGCCGGCCUGGAUGUGCUUCCCGGCGCCGGGGCCGUCGACGAACACUCCGGUACCCUUCACGACGCAGUUCCGCACCGUCAGUUUCGCCUUCUAGGCAACCGAAGCAUGCAUGGACAGUUUUACGCUGGGGAUCUUGUGUACCUCGAUGACAAUGUCAAUGCCCAUCUCAGCCCAUGGGAGCUUGAGUGGGUCCCUGCUGGAGACGACCUUGAUGGGCUUGCCGUCAACGCUGAUGGUGGUGUCGUCGACAAUCUUGACGUCGGCCUUGAAGGUGCCGAGCAUCGAGUCGUACUUGAGGAGGUGAGAUGCCUGAAAUUCAUUCAAUUCAAACGCGCAUCAAGUUUCUGUCAGAAUACGUGGGAAGAGCGAGAGCCUGAAGAACACAGGUGCGGCUUCAGUUGGCGUCACGUACGUUCCUGACGCCUCCGCUGUCGUUGACGACGACGACAUCGAGCGGGGAGUCCUCACGGCCGUGCCAACACCGGAGGAAGUUCCGGCCGAUGCGGCCGAACCCGUUGAUCGCCACCUUGAGCUUCGCCUCAGCAGGCGCCCUCACGGCGUUCUCUCCGGUGGCCUGUCACACAGGUUAACCAACAAAGCUGAACGUACAGUCGGGUCCAUGCCAGGUGAAUGAUUGCCAAGUUUUGCACAAAUCAGAAAUGGGAGGAAUAUUUUGACUGCACGAUGGUGUAGUAAAUUAAAAUUGUGAAAAUCCAGAGUAUCGUUUGUUGUCCAACUGUUGGUUAACUAGUACAACUAGCAUGACAAGUGUGUCUGUAUGUGAUUAUUGUUAAAGGCCACGGUUUUAUAUAUGUUAAUCCACUGACACGACAUUUCCUACGUGAAUCUUUAGCGAAUGAACGGAUCAAACUGUCAAUCAUACCACAGUAACUUAAAAGUAUAACGGUAUCAUGUAUACUGCGGUAGGUGCUCGCACGAUCUAUAACUAAAAAGAAGUAAGCUGUACAUGCUAACCCUACAUGAUUAGCAUAUGCAUGAUGAAUCUAGCUGUCCGUACUACCUUGCUUGGAUCUACUCUUUGUUCGUUUUUCAUCAAGAGAACUGAUCGAAGCACAUAAAUUAUUGACCUAUGAUCUGUGUACACUAUGUUUUUUCAGUAAGCAGGCGCUAGAUUUCCUUACGCUACAAAGCACAUGCAUAAACGUGAUGAUUUGUCUUAGCUGCGGGUACGUACCUUGGCGACGAGCUGCGCGCCGAGCACGUCGUAGAAGGACGCCUCCCUGGCGGCGGUGCUGACGGAGCAUGAUCCCGGCCUGAGCCCGGAGAAGUCGGCGAAGUCCACCCUCUGCGCACGCACAUUAGUCACCCAGCGUUCUCAUCAUCACAAAGAGAAGGAAAAUGUCCAUCGAUCACCACGUACCUGCCUGGACGCGGCCCUGCUGUUGAGCCGGGCGCUGGUGGGGAUGCGCGACGCGGCAAGAGCUGCGUGGGUGGCCAUGUCGUCGCGCUCUAAGCUAGCUGCUGCCGGAUGGCGCCGAUGCUAAGGCAGCCAGACGAAACUGAGCCGGCGGUGGUGCUCCCAAUUUAUGUGCUGCCGGCCGGCCG
This 2724-nucleotide long non-coding RNA is filed under the name Setaria viridis. RNAcentral's name for it is "long non-coding RNA (SVIR_LNC011469)". The record is from RNAcentral. Lineage: Eukaryota; Viridiplantae; Streptophyta; Magnoliopsida; Poales; Poaceae.